This 1677-nucleotide long non-coding RNA is filed under the name Anas platyrhynchos platyrhynchos (common mallard). RNAcentral's name for it is "lncRNA (ENSAPLG00000016895.1)". The record is from RNAcentral. Lineage: Eukaryota; Metazoa; Chordata; Aves; Anseriformes; Anatidae.
CAUGACCAGACCCCGCAUUGCUGUCCCACCCCUCCAACAGCUUUCCACCAGCACCUCCCAAUGUGCAGCUCUGGGAGGGCGGGCAGCCCUGGCAUCUCCCUUUCUGCCUCCUUCUCUGGCUUUCACCCCAUGCACCCCAGGCUCCACCUGCUCGUUUGUAGACUGCAAUGCUGAGAGGCAGCAUUUUUUGGCCAAAUACUGGGUUUUGCCAAGCCUGUCCCUCCAAGUGAUGUGCACUCUGCUGCACGUGGCACUGCUAGUCAGUUCAUUAUCCUAUUAGAUUCCCACACAGCACCUGCUCAAUUGGAGCCUCGUGUGCUGGCAAUUAAUAUGUUAUGCCCUGAUUAAUUAGCAGGGUUAAUUAUGAUUGCUGUUGCUUAAACCUAUGUAGAGAGAGAUGGCAUCAUGUUGCUGUGACUCGCAGUGCUGAGGAUGCACCCCUGGGAAUUGGGACCAGCACGUGUUAGCAGCCGUCUGUCCCUGUGGGACACGUUUGCUUGUUCCUGCAGUGUUGCAAGCCUGGGAGUCGUGUCCCCGCUUGUUCUGAUUAUUGUUUCCUUAAAGGGUGGCACCUCUCUGCUACUGGAUGAUGAAAAUGAACCUAACCAGUUGGUGCCACAGGCACUGAAGGGAAUGAGGUCUCCUGCAUUUUUGCCUAUGUUUUAUCCAGUGGAACAUAAAGUGCAUUAUUUACAAGCUUCACAGGUGCAGGUGCUGGUGUCCACAGUGGCAAGCCACAGCCAGGUGCUGCCGCAGCUUGGGAACAGGGGGAUCUGGAUGCAAGCAGCAAAGCCAAGGGGGUCAGGCAGGCACCACAGGAGGAACUUCUCAGCUUGGCAGCCAGAAAAGCUAGACAAGAACAGCACAGGUAAGAUCAACCCCCCAUCUACCCCCCUUCCUCCUUCCCCCUUCCCCCCUCCCCACACAGAGCUGAGCAUCACCAGUUGCCUGUUAAGCUUUUGAUUUGUCUGCGUGUGAAAUAGUGAGACUUGGGGCCUUUUUGGCAGUUGUGAGUGAGAGAUGACCACCCUUCUCAUUGACUUAUCCUUUUGAAGCUAUCAUCACUCAUUUCUCUUGGGAAGAGAAUGUGAGGCACUGGUAAAUAAUAUAGGAUUGUGUAUUUCUUUAUCUCCCAUAGUGUGUUGUCUCCUACAUGCUGUUCUGUUCUAACAACAUCCAUCAAGACAAAUGCAUACCUGAGCACAGCCUCCCUCAAACCUCAGAAAUCUUUUUCUGAGGUCACAAACUACAAAAAAAGACAAAGAAGAAACAAGAAGGAAAUUGUGCAAACAAUUAAGUAUUUUUUUUUCAAGAGACAUAGAGGAUUCCCCUUGUCUGCACAAGGCAAGCACCAAAAUAAGAAUGCCACAUCUCAAACACAAGGCAAUCUAUUAUUCUCAGAGCAGUAACAUGAUACAUUAUCAGCCACCUUAUCCUAGCAAAAUGUAUCAUUACCUGCACUUUCUGCACUUUCCAGAUCAAUCCACUUUAAAAAUGUAGUAAUAUAGAAGGGUAUUAGGUACUAGAAAACUCAUUAUGAAAAUGGCGCACUCAAAUUCUUUAAAGGUGAUAUUUCAUAAAAUAUACUAUGCCUAGCUCUUGGCUCAAUCAUUCUUUUUAAUAGCUCCAUAGCAGCCAGAAAAUAAAGUAUUCAUGAAGAUUGAAGAAGAUGAUCCC